AAGUCGUAACAAGGUUUCCGUAGGUGAACCUGCGGAAGGAUCAUUACAGAGUUCAUGCCCUCACGGGUAGAUCUCCCACCCUUGAAUAUUAUACCUUAGUUGCUUUGGCAGGCCGGGGCAACCCCCGGGGCUUCGGCCUUGGUGUGCCUGCCAGAGGAAACAAACUCUGUUUUUUAGUGAUGUUCUGAGUACUAUAUAAUAGUUAAAACUUUCAACAACGGAUCUCUUGGUUCUGGCAUCGAUGAAGAGCGCAGCGAAAUGCGAUAAGUAAUGUGAAUUGCAGAAUUCAGUGAAUCAUCGAAUCUUUGAACGCACAUUGCGCCCCGUGGUAUUCCGCGGGGCAUGCCUGUUCGAGCGUCAUUUCAACCCAUCAAGCUUCGGCUUGGUCUUGGGGCCUGCGAUUCCGCAGCCUCUAAACCCAGUGGCGGUGCCUCCGAGCUCUGAGCGUAGUAAUUCUUCUCGCUAUAGGGUCUCGGUGGUGUCUUGCCAGUAACCCCCAAUUUUUUACAGGUUGACCUCGGAUCAGGUAGGGAUACCCGCUGAACUUAAGCAUAUCAAUAAGCGGAGGAAAAGAAACCAACAGGGAUUACCUCAGUAACGGCGAGUGAAGCGGUAACAGCUCAAAUUUGAAAUCUGCCGCAAGGCCGAGUUGUAAUUUGUAGAAGAUGCUUUGGGUAUGGCCCCGGUCUAAGUUCGUUGGAACACGACGUCAUAGAGGGUGAGAAUCCCGUAUGUGACUGGGUGCUUUUGCCUAUGUAAAGCUCUUUCGACGAGUCGAGUUGUUUGGGAAUGCAGCUCAAAAUGGGUGGUAUAUUUCAUCUAAAGCUAAAUAUUGGCCAGAGACCGAUAGCGCACAAGUAGAGUGAUCGAAAGAUGAAAAGCACUUUGGAAAGAGAGUUAAACAGUACGUGAAAUUGUUGAAAGGGAAGCGCUUGCAACCAGACUUGCACGCUGUUGAUCAUCCAGGCUUCUGUCUGGUGCACUCGGCAGCGUUCAGGCCAGCAUCGGUUCUGGUGGUGGGAUAAAGGCCUUGGGAAUGUAGCUUCUUUCGGGGAGUGUUAUAGCCCUCGGUGCAAUGCCGCCUAUCGGGACCGAGGACCGCGCUUCGGCUAGGAUGCUGGCGUAAUGGUUGUAAGCGACC
This 1141-nucleotide ribosomal RNA is filed under the name uncultured Lemonniera. RNAcentral describes it as "eukaryotic LSU rRNA". The stretch from base 513 to 1141 matches the Rfam family "Eukaryotic large subunit ribosomal RNA", at positions 1 to 649 of the family's 3401-position model. The record is from RNAcentral. Lineage: Eukaryota; Fungi; Ascomycota.